AGAAAGCAUGUUAGUUUGCCAAGAGGGCUUAAUUUUCAGAAAGUCGCCUUUGUUUUAAAAAACAAACAACAUAGUAGAUAGUGUCUCUUUUGCUUUUCUUUUCUUAGACCCCAACUAUCUUUGCCGUUUCACACCUCACUGGCUGAGACGAGUCACUCACUGACAUUACCUGCCUGACCCCAGUCCGCACUUGUGCGUGUGACCCCUGGUCCUGAGGCUGCUGUUGAAAGCUCAUCAUGCCUCUUCCUGUGGAAGCCUCGGGCCAGUCAAAGAGCCACCAGAGGCUGGAGCUUCUGGGUUCAAUCCCCGGGUUAAUGGGCUUGGAGAAGUGGACCUGGACUCCAGGUCCAGAAGGAAAGAGAAGAUUCAGCCCCAACACAAAGCUGCCUCUAUUUCCUGAGAAGCAAGAGGAAGCAACCACUCACCUCAGAGUUUCUGGAGCAACCAUUUCUUGAGCAUCCUUAUUUUGUGAUUGAUAAAAGUUCUUCUGUCAAUGAGAGCACAUGUUCUAACGGUGGCAGGGGUGAGGGGUGGAGAGGUUGGGAAAAAUAUACGUCUAGGAGCAAACAGAAAUUGAUGUUGGAAAACUUUGUUCAUAGUGUAGGGACUCCCUGCAAAUAUUAACAUACUGUGUUACUAAGAAGGGCCAUGGGCCAGCGAGGCAGGAGGUUGGUUUAUCUGUUUGGCUCAUUCUCAGUUUCAUCCUAAGUAGAAACUGGGGCUCUGAUGAAUGAUGGGGACAGAAGAAUGGCAGAGUAUGGAGCUGGAAACACAAGCGAGGGCCUGAAGCCCCUAGCUGUAUACCAUUUGGUGUCCUGGACAGGUAGAGGCGUCCAGAUGGCGCCGGAGACCCUGGUUGGGGGGAUGGGGAGACUCAACAGAAUGAAGGACUGGGAAAAGCUUUGCCUGUUCCCUUGUUUCACUUAAAGUGAAGUGAAGUGAAGUGAAAUCGCUCAGUCGUGUCCGACUAUUUGCGACCCCAUGGACUGUAGCCUACCAGGCUCCUCCCUCCAUGGAAUUCUCCAAGCAAGAGUACUGGAGUGGGUUGCCAUUUCCUUCUCCAGGGUUGUUUCCCUUAAGCCAACGUUAAUUCCUGGGGGUUGUGGUCAAAAAAUGCCACUUGCAUAUCAG
This 1131-nucleotide long non-coding RNA is filed under the name Bos indicus x Bos taurus (hybrid cattle). RNAcentral's name for it is "lncRNA (ENSBIXG00005008456.1)". The record is from RNAcentral. Lineage: Eukaryota; Metazoa; Chordata; Mammalia; Artiodactyla; Bovidae.